UACGUUCCCGGGCCUUGUACACACCGCCCGUCACGUCACGAAAGUCGGCAACACCCGAAGCCGGUGGCCUAACCCGUGAGGGGGGGAGCCGUCGAAGGUGGGGCUGGCGAUUGGGACG
Molecule: ribosomal RNA, 118 nt
Filed under: uncultured bacterium
Lineage: Bacteria
Description: partial 16S ribosomal RNA
Rfam family: Bacterial small subunit ribosomal RNA
Source: RNAcentral